This 518-nucleotide ribosomal RNA is filed under the name uncultured bacterium. Its description in RNAcentral is "bacterial SSU rRNA". It matches the Rfam family "Bacterial small subunit ribosomal RNA", at positions 9 to 526 of the family's 1533-position model. The record is from RNAcentral.
GAGUUUGAUCCUGGCUCAGGAUGAACGCUGGCGGCGUGCUUAACACAUGCAAGUCGAACGGGAAACCUUUUAUUGAAGCUUCGGCAGAUUUAGAUUGUUUCUAGUGGCGGACGGGUGAGUAACGCGUGAGUAACCUGCCCUAGAGUGGGGGACAACAGUUGGAAACGACUGCUAAUACCGCAUAAGCCCACGGUGCCGCAUGGCACAGAGGGAAAAGGAGCAAUCCGCUUUGAGAUGGCCUCGCGUCCGAUUAGCUAGUUGGUGAGGUAACGGCUCACCAAGGCGAUGACGGGUAGCCGGUCUGAGAGGAUGUCCGGCCACACUGGAACUGAGACACGGUCCAGACUCCUACGGGAGGCAGCAGUGGGGAAUAUUGGGCAAUGGGCGCAAGCCUGACCCAGCAACGCCGCGUGAGCGAAGAAGUAUUUCGGUAUGUAAAGCUCUAUCAGCAGGGAAGAUAAUGACGGUACCUGACUAAGAAGCACCGGCUAAAUACGUGCCAGCCGCCGCGGUAAUUC